AGAGACAUCCAGUAUUGUCACCAAAAGAAAGAACUGUAGCACUUGCACUGUUAAGGAAUAAGACUAUUUAGUUGUGGGAGAGGAAGGAAGGGUAUGAGACAGACCUAUGUGAUUCAGCCAUGUGGGAUUGGCAUUGGAAGCCACAGAAAUUGUGUGGGUGCUCGCAUGUGAUUCCAGUGGAAUUCAUCUCCUGCGAUAACCUUGCCUUCUCUGGAGCAAGUACAUGUGGUUUCAGCUGGUCUGCCCGGAUUCCGAAGCUUUCCUCCCAUUGGCUUGUGGUCUGCUUCUCUGGCAGGUUAUUCUUUGGCCUGUCUGGCCCCCUCUAGGUAGGAUUCUAGGUGUCUGGGCUGUUAUCAGUUACCUGUGUUUCAAUUCCCUUUUGCUACCAGCCCUUCGUGCCUGUUUUCCACAGUGUCAGUAAUUCUCUUAUGGGACCAAGAACCCCUGUUGGAAUUUUACCUCUUUCCUUGCCUGCUGAAUACUUUUUCUGUGACUGUUUUGCAAGACUUAGCAACCUUGUUAGGAUGCUGACUGGCCUCAUCAGCUAAAACUCCCAGAUCUUUAUCACACUCUCGCCUCACAGUCACCAUCUCUGCUUUUCCUCUAUGUAUAUAAUGAUUUUUUCUUUAAUGUCUACAGAGUUCCUGUCGUGGCUCAGUGGAAACAAAUCUGACUAGUAUCCAAAAGGACACAGGUUCGAUCCCUGGUCUCACUCAGUGGGUAAAGGAUCCAUUUUUGCUAUGAGCUGUACUGUAGGUUGCAUAUGCAGCUUAGAUCUGGGGUGGCUGUGGCUCUGGCGUAGGCCAACAGCUACAGCUCUGAUUUGACCCCUAGCCAGGGAACCUCCAGAUGCCGUGGGUGCAUCCCUAAAAAGACAAAUAAAAUAAAUAUUUCCUUUAUUAGUCUUCACAGCUAUUAAUUUAUAGGCAUGUGAUUUGCAUGCUGGUCUUUAAUACUUCAGGAGAAAUCUUGACCCUAGAAGCUAUCUCAUCUCCAGAUAGCAGGGUUCCAUUGUGUAGCUCUCCUGCAGUGUUCUAAGUUAUGAGAGUAAGAAUAGCAGUCCCUUCCCCCCUCUGCCCUUCCUUCUAACCAUCCCUCUCAGGAGACAUUAUUCAAAUCCUCCUGCAUUCUUGUGUUAAUGAUGGUGCCCUUGGAGCACCACCGGCUAGUAGAGCUUUGUGAUUAUGGAAAUGUUCUCUGUGUCACCCAGUAAGGUAGCCAGUGGGCAUACCUGACUGUUGAGCACUUAAAAGGUAGCGAGUGUUACCAAGGAACUGCAUGUUCAUUGAUUUUAACUAAAUUUAAAUGGCUUCUUGUAGCUAGUAGCCACCCCAUUGGACAGUGGAAUUUAGUUAAGAAAAAAUAAGACUUAACCAGCAAGAAAAAAAGAUGACAGGAAGUUCCCAUUGUGGCACAGUGGAAACGAGUCCGACUAGUAUUCAUGAGAUGCGGGUUCCAUCCCUGGUCGGGGAUCUGGUGUUGCUGGUGAGCCAUGGUGUAGGUCACAGACAUGGCUCAGAUCCCGAGUUGCUGUGGCUGUGGCGUAGGCUGGCAGCUGCAGCUCCAAUUCCACCCCUAGCCUGGGACCCUCCAUAUGCUGAGGGUGCAACCUUAAAAAAGCAAAAAAAAAAAAAAGAUGACAGUGGUUUGUGACUUAAGUAGCUGCAUAAGUGGUCAGUCUGAAGGGAGCCUUAGGAGGGCACCAGGCCUCCCCCUGGGAGUCCAUUCCUGACCUCUGGACUCAAUCCUGGUCUCUGACCUCUGAUGGCCUCUUGGAGACCUCUGCCUGCACACUGGGAAGAUAAUCCCAAAUUCUUGUAUUUGCCUCAGCCCUGCUUUUGUUCCUUUAUUUAUUCUGUCAUCUGAUAGCAUCCCCCCGCCCCAGCAACACCCCACAGGGAACCUUGAGUUGGUGCCAUCUCCUUGCCUCCUAGAGUCAGUCCGUCACUGAACUGUGCUGCACCCCCAGCAAUAGCUUUGGAACCAGGCCCGAAGCCUCCAUCCAGGACAGCCAUGCGCCCCUGCCAGACAGUGGAGCAGACUGUGUCAUUAUUGUCCCUGUCCUCCCUCUGGACCUGCCUCCCUUCAUUCUGUCCUCUGCUCCUCACCUGGCAAGCCUGUCCCUCGCCUCCUAACCAUGUUUGCCUCGCAUGGCACAGAGGAUGACGCCAGGCCAGGGUGGCCCUCCCCUCCCCCAUCGCCCCUCUCUCUGAACUUCUCUCCAUUUGGAGGGGCUCUCACCCUCCCUUCUCUGUCUGAAAGGAUGUUUCUCCCCUUUCCUCCUCCUCAUUCAUCCAGGGACUUUCCUCAGCUACCUAUCACAUGAUUCUCAUUUCUUCCUCCUCGAAGUUCCUGCAGGAUGCCAUCCAUUGCUGUUAUUGCACUUGCCAUGUCAUCUUGUAAUUACCUGGGUGUCUGUUGUCUUCCUGAUACAUAGAAAGUGAAUUUCUGUAGGCAUGACCUCUGUCUCAUGGAUUCCUUAGUCCUUGCACUGUUCCCACACAGUUAGUUUGGUUGAAUAACCACAUGGACCUGAGCGUGCAUAGGUGUUGAAUGGGCAGAUACAGAAAGGAGGGCAACUGGGUCCCCAUGAAGAGCACAGGUAGCCUGGAGAGAAAGUAGGUUGUGGUGAGCCGCCAGGAGUUUUAAUUUGGCCCAUUUGUCCAUGGGGAGCUCCCACUGGAAGAAGAUUGGACUAGUGAGGUGGCAGGUAAGUUAGGACAAAGAGAAGCUGCCACAUAUCAGCACAGAGCAGGGCACUUAACAGGUGCUUGAUAGCUUUUGGAAGAAGGAAAAACGGGGGCUGUGAAUUUAAAAGAGUUGUUCUUGGAGUUCCCGUCGUGGCGCAGUGGUUAACGAAUCCGACUAGGAACCAUGAGGUUGUGGGUUCGGUCCCUGCCCUUGCUCAGUGGGUUAACGAUCCGGCGUUGCCGUGAGCUGUGGUGUAGGUUGCAGACGCGACUCGGAUCCCACGUUGCUGUGGCUCUGGCGUAGGCCGGUGGCUACAGCUCCGAUUCAACCCCUAGCCUGGGAACCUCCAUAUGCCGCGGGAGCGGCCCAAGAAAUAGCAACAACAACAAAAAGACAAAGAAACAAAAUAAAAUAAAAGAGUUGUUCUUAAAGGCAAAAGUAAGUUUCACAACUACUCUCUAAUGUUAUCACCAUUCUUUCCGGGUUUUUUUUUUUUUUUAAUGAUCACGGACCUGAAAAUUUCUGGAAUUGUCUUAAUUUCAAAUAUUGACUAUACUAACAGGGCAUGGGGGUUCCAUACUUGUUAAAAAUAAUAUAGCAAAUGCACUUAUAUUGAGCAAGUCAACCAAAUUCUGUUAAUUCUGCCUUCAAAAUGCCACUAAUUUUAUAUGAUGGGAAAUACAGGCAGUAGUCUUUAUUUCUCAGUGGUGUUUUUUCCCUUCUAUUGAAACAUUGUCCUAAUGCAUAGGAAAAAAAAAAAUCUCCAUUUAGCAAAGAGAUAAAUUAGACUACUAUUGUUGCAUGGGACUCCCUAUGUGCAUUAGUUCUCUGUUGCUGUGUAACAGAUUACCUCCAAACUUAGCAGCUUAAAACAACAACAUUUAUUAUCUCACAGUUUCUAUGCAUCAAGAAAUCAAAAAUGGGAGUUCCCAUCGUGGUGCAGUGGUUAAUGAAUCUGACUAGGAACCGUGAGGUUGCGGGUUCGAUCCCUGGCCUUGCUCAGUGGGUUAACGAUCCGGCGUUUCUGUGAGCUGUGGUGUAGGUUGCAGACUCGGCUUGGAUCCCGCAUUGCUGUGGCUCUGGCGUAGGCCGGUGGCUACAGCUCUGAUUAGACCCCUAGCCUGGGAACCUCCAUAUGCUGUGGAAGCAGCCCUAGAAAAGGCAAAAA
This 3859-nucleotide long non-coding RNA is filed under the name Sus scrofa (pig). RNAcentral describes it as "lncRNA (ENSSSCG00000060408.1)". The record is from RNAcentral. Lineage: Eukaryota; Metazoa; Chordata; Mammalia; Artiodactyla; Suidae.